This is a non-coding RNA of Phyllostomus hastatus (greater spear-nosed bat), 1363 nucleotides long. The record is from the annotation of a RefSeq genome assembly. Lineage: Eukaryota; Metazoa; Chordata; Mammalia; Chiroptera; Phyllostomidae.
GCCUGAGUAGGUGGUGUCCUGUGAGUGUCCCCACCGUGGCCUGGAUGGUGCUCCUGCUUGGGCUCCUCACUUACAGCUCAGGUGUGGAUUCUCAGACUGUGGUCACCCAGGAGUCAUUACUGUCUGUUUGUCCAGGAGGAACAGUCACACUCACCUAUGGCCUUAGCUCUGGGUCAGUCUCUAGUAGUCACUACCCCGGCUGGUACCAGCAGAGCCCAGGGUCCGGGUCUCAGGCUGUGGUGACUCAGGAGCCCUCACUGACUGUGUCCCCAGGAGGGACAGUCACUCUCACCUGUGCUUCCAGCACUGGAGCUGUCACCAGUGGUCACUAUCCAUACUGGUUCCAGCAGAAGUCUGGCCAAGCCCCCAAGACACUGCUUUAUCAUACAAGCAGUAAACACUCCUGGACCCCUGCCCAGUUCUCAGGCUCCCUCCUUGGGGGCAAAGCUGCCUUGACCCUCUCAGGGGCCCAGCCUGAGGACGAGGCCGUGUACUACUGCUGGCUGGUGUACAGUGGUGUUUGGCACAGUGAGAGACCCAGAGGGGGAAGCAGGACAGAAACCUUCUCAGCACUUAUGAUACGGGGAUGGCAGGAUCAGACACACCAGCUCUCAAGAAGCCUAUUGUGGGCCAUCCAUUGACAAGGGAAGGGAAGGGUAGAAAUGAAUUCCUAUGGGUACUUGAGGCCUAAAGUGGAGGAAAUACACAUGAUUUGGGAGGAACUUGUUCUGGAAAAGCAACACCCAAUUAUUUCAUAAUCCAGAAGGAAUAGGAAGAGCCGGAUCAGACCUAAGGGCUCUGGUCAAACACCUUCCCCCGAGAAAGGAGUACCUCCCAUGGUCUACUUUGCUGGCUCCUUUUAUAUAUCACUAAAGGGCAUGUCACUGAGUAGUGAAUAAUACAACACACAUGGGUUGUAUAAAAGCAAAAGGAUUGAAUAUCAGCGCUGGCUUCUGUGGCUCAGCAGAUAGAUGCUGAAUUGCAAACCAAAGGGUCACGGGAUCGAUUCCCAGUCAGGGCACAUGUCUGGGUUGCAGGGAAGGUCACCAGAACGGGGCACACGAGAGGCAACUACACAUUGAUGCUUCCCUCUCUGCCUCCCUUUCCCUUUAGCUAUAAAUAAAUAAAUAAAAUUUUUAGAAAAAUUAUUGAAUAUCACCAAAGUCCUCCCAAAAGUUCUCUAUGCCAAACCUUUAUUAAUAUCAAUAUAUUAUAACCAUAAUCUAUCGGUAUAUAACUGUACUUCUGAACUUCAAUGCACGCUUUCACUUCUAUUUCAAUGUAUCCAAAAUUGUGAUCAAACCUGGUGCUGACAUCUCGGCAUGUUAUAUACUGUUCAUGUCCUAUAAGAGUUAUACAGAUA